ACAAUAGUUUAUUGAUUGUAGCAAUUUUAUUGCAAAAUAAUAAUACAAAUAAAUAAAAUCUAUAGAUCAUCUUAUCUUUAUAGGGAUUCGAUGCUAUAUGGUUGAGUAGGAUUCAUAUGAGAGAUAGAUCUAAUAAAAGAAGAAAUUUUCAUGUUUAUCACAUUGUUGGUACCGUUAUUCAAGUUUACCACCAAUAAUUAUAUAUAUAUUUUUUUUUAUUUUUCCAAUUUUAUUUUUUUCAAAUUCAAACUUUUUUCGAUUUUUUUCGAUUUUUUUUCUUUUUUCAAUUCUUCUUUUUGAAAUUAGAUAAUUAUUUAUGAAACUGUUUUUAAAAAAAAAUAUUUAAUUUUUUUAAUUAUUUAUUUGAAUCCUAAACUCCACAUUCCAAAAAUCCUACAUUCCUUUUAACUCUAAACCCUAAGUCUAAA
RNAcentral lists this long non-coding RNA (428 nucleotides) under Brassica rapa (field mustard). Its description in RNAcentral is "long non-coding RNA (BRAP_LNC006599)". Lineage: Eukaryota; Viridiplantae; Streptophyta; Magnoliopsida; Brassicales; Brassicaceae. The record is from RNAcentral.